AGAAAACUCUUUAAUAACCCCGAGAGACUUGAGACUUGUCUUGGACUCUAGCUCAAAGACUUGUGAGCAUCUCUGACACACACACACACACACACACACACAC
Long non-coding RNA from Etheostoma cragini (Arkansas darter), 103 nucleotides. RefSeq lists it as uncharacterized. The record is from RefSeq and is a predicted model, not a curated record. Lineage: Eukaryota; Metazoa; Chordata; Actinopteri; Perciformes; Percidae. The transcript has 3 exons.